This 568-nucleotide ribosomal RNA is filed under the name Hymenoscyphus sp. 2 FC-5110. RNAcentral describes it as "eukaryotic LSU rRNA". The stretch from base 219 to 372 matches the Rfam family "5.8S ribosomal RNA". Lineage: Eukaryota; Fungi; Ascomycota; Leotiomycetes; Helotiales; Helotiaceae. The record is from RNAcentral.
UUGAGGAAGUAAAAGUCGUAACAAGGUUUCCGUAGGUGAACCUGCGGAAGGAUCAUUACAGAGUUCCUGCCCUCACGGGUAGAAACCCCACCCUUGUAUAUUAUAUAUUGUUGCUUUGGCGGGCCGCCCUCACGGGCACUGGCUCACGCUGGCUCGCGCCCGCCGAAGGACCCCAAACUCUGAAGUAUAGUGUCGUCUGAGUACUAUUUAAUAGUUAAAACUUUCAACAACGGAUCUCUUGGUUCUGGCAUCGAUGAAGAACGCAGCGAAAUGCGAUAAGUAAUGUGAAUUGCAGAAUUCAGUGAAUCAUCGAAUCUUUGAACGCACAUUGCGCCCCUUGGUAUUCCGAGGGGCAUGCCUGUUCGAGCGUCAUAUUGACCAAUCCCGCUUGCGGGGUCUUGGGCUUCGCCUCUGGGCGGGCCUUAAAAUCAGUGGCGGUGCCGUCCGGCUCUAAGCGUAGUAAAUCUCCUCGCUAUAGGGUCCGGAAGGAUGCUUGCCAACAACCCCCAACUUCUUAAGGUUGACCUCGGAUCAGGUAGGGAUACCCGCUGAACUUAAGCAUAUCAUA